UGAACGGGUGAGGAACACGUGAAGAAUCUGCCCUCCACUUGGGAUAACACCGGGAAACCGGUGCUAAUACUGAAUAUGAAACAUAAGUGGCAUCACUGAGUUUUGAAAGAAUUUCGGUGGAGGAUGACUUCGCGGCCUAUCAGCUAGUUGGUGAGGUAAUGGCUCACCAAGGCAACGACGGGUAGCCGGCCUGAGAGGGCGACCGGCCACACUGGGACUGAGACACGGCCCAGACUCCUACGGGAGGCAGCAGUGGGGAAUAUUGGGCAAUGGAGGAAACUCUGACCCAGCGACGCCGCGUGCGGGAUGAAGGCCUUCGGGUUGUAAACCGCUUUCAGUAGGGAAGAAGCGAAAGUGACGGUACCUACAAAAGAAGCACCGGCUAACUAUGUGCCAGCAGCCGCGGUAAUACAUAGGGUGCAAGCGUUGUCCGGAAUUAUUGGGCGUAAAGAGCUCGUAGGUCGUUUGUUACGUCGGAUGUGAAAACCUGAGGCUCAACCUCAGGCCUGCAUUCGAUACGGGCAAACUAGAGUUUGGUAGGGGAGACUGGAAUUCCUGGUGUAGCGGUGGAAUGCGCAGAUAUCAGGAGGAACACCAAUGGCGAAGGCAGGUCUCUGGGCCAAUACUGACACUGAGGAGCGAAAGUCUGGGGAGCGAACAGGAUUAGAUACCCUGGUAGUCCAGACCGUAAACGGUGGGCACUAGUUGUGGGAACCUUCCACGGUUUCUGCGACGCAGCUAACGCAUUAAGUGCCCCGCCUGGGGAGUACGAUCGCAAGAUUAAAACUCAAAGGAAUUGACGGGGCCCCGCACAAGCAGCGGAGCAUGCGGCUCAAUUCGACGCAACGCGAAGAACCUUACCAAGGCUUGACAUAUAGGGAAAAGUGACAGAGAUGUCAUGUCCGCAAGGGCUCUAUACAGGUGGUGCAUGGUUGUCGUCAGCUCGUGUCGUGAGAUGUUGGGUUAAGUCCCGCAACGAGCGCAACCCUCGUUCUGUGUUGCCAGCAUUUAGUUGGGGACUCACAGGAGACUGCGGGGUUAACUCGGAGGAAGGUGGGGAUGACGUCAAGUCAUCAUGCCCCUUACAUCCUGGGCUACACACGUACUACAAUGCUACGGACA
Molecule: ribosomal RNA, 1122 nt
Filed under: uncultured bacterium
Lineage: Bacteria
Description: bacterial SSU rRNA
Rfam family: Bacterial small subunit ribosomal RNA
Source: RNAcentral